Molecule: transfer RNA, 74 nt
Filed under: Candidatus Woesearchaeota archaeon
Lineage: Archaea; Nanobdellati; Candidatus Woesearchaeota
Description: tRNA-Phe
Rfam family: tRNA
About the family: Transfer RNA (tRNA) molecules are approximately 80 nucleotides in length. Their secondary structure includes four short double-helical elements and three loops (D, anti-codon, and T loops). Further hydrogen bonds mediate the characteristic L-shaped molecular structure. tRNAs have two regions of fundamental functional importance: the anti-codon, which is responsible for specific mRNA codon recognition, and the 3' end, to which the tRNAs corresponding amino acid is attached (by aminoacyl-tRNA synthetases). tRNAs cope with the degeneracy of the genetic code in two manners: having more than one tRNA (with a specific anti-codon) for a particular amino acid; and 'wobble' base-pairing, i.e. permitting non-standard base-pairing at the 3rd anti-codon position.
Source: RNAcentral
GGGGCGGUGGCUCAGUCUGGAAGAGCACACGGCUGAAGACCGUGGUGUCGCUGGUUCAAAUCCGGCUCGCCCCA